RNAcentral lists this ribosomal RNA (446 nucleotides) under uncultured bacterium. RNAcentral describes it as "SSU rRNA". It matches the Rfam family "Bacterial small subunit ribosomal RNA", at positions 26 to 518 of the family's 1533-position model. The record is from RNAcentral.
AGAGCGAACGCUGGCGGCAGGCUUAACACAUGCAAGUCGAGCGGGCGUAGCAAUACGUCAGCGGCAGACGGGUGAGUAACGCGUGGGAACAUACCUUUUGGUUCGGAACAACACAGGGAAACUUGUGCUAAUACCGGAUAAGCCCUUACGGGGAAAGAUUUAUCGCCGAAAGAUUGGCCCGCGUCUGAUUAGCUAGUUGGUGAGGUAAUGGCUCACCAAGGCGACGAUCAGUAGCUGGUCUGAGAGGAUGAUCAGCCACAUUGGGACUGAGACACGGCCCAAACUCCUACGGGAGGCAGCAGUGGGAAUAUUGGACAAUGGGGGCAACCCUGAUCCAGCCAUGCCGCGUGAGUGAUGAAGGCCCUAGGGUUGUAAAGCUCUUUUGUGCGGGAAGAUAAUGACGGUACCGCAAGAAUAAGCCCGGCUAACUUCGUGCCAGCAGCCGC